AUACGGGGGGUGCAAGCGUUAAUCGGAAUUACUGGGCGUAAAGCGCGCGUAGGCGGUUUGCUCAGUCGGACGUGAAGGCCCAGGGCUCAACCUUGGAACUGCAUACGAUACUGGCAAACUAGAGUGUGAGAGAGGAUAGUGGAAUUUCCGGUGUAGCGGCGAAAUGCGUAGAUAUCGGAAGGAACAUCAGUGGCGAAGGCGACUGUCUGGCUCAACACUGACGCUGAGGUGCGAAAGCGUGGGUAGCAAACAGGAUUAGAAACCCUAGUAGUCC
RNAcentral lists this ribosomal RNA (274 nucleotides) under uncultured bacterium. RNAcentral's name for it is "partial 16S ribosomal RNA". It matches the Rfam family "Bacterial small subunit ribosomal RNA", at positions 523 to 796 of the family's 1533-position model. The record is from RNAcentral.